RNAcentral lists this ribosomal RNA (428 nucleotides) under Ligilactobacillus salivarius. RNAcentral describes it as "bacterial SSU rRNA". It matches the Rfam family "Bacterial small subunit ribosomal RNA", at positions 338 to 759 of the family's 1533-position model. Lineage: Bacteria; Bacillati; Bacillota; Bacilli; Lactobacillales; Lactobacillaceae. The record is from RNAcentral.
CCUACGGGUGGCUGCAGUAGGGAAUCUUCCACAAUGGACGCAAGUCUGAUGGAGCAACGCCGCGUGAGUGAAGAAGGUCUUCGGAUCGUAAAACUCUGUUGUUAGAGAAGAACACGAGUGAGAGUAACUGUUCAUUCGAUGACGGUAUCUAACCAGCAAGUCACGGCUAACUACGUGCCAGCAGCCGCGGUAAUACGUAGGUGGCAAGCGUUGUCCGGAUUUAUUGGGCGUAAAGGGAACGCAGGCGGUCUUUUAAGUCUGAUGUGAAAGCCUUCGGCUUAACCGGAGUAGUGCAUUGGAAACUGGAAGACUUGAGUGCAGAAGAGGAGAGUGGAACUCCAUGUGUAGCGGUGAAAUGCGUAGAUAUAUGGAAGAACACCAGUGGCGAAAGCGGCUCUCUGGUCUGUAACUGACGCUGAGGUUGAAAG